This is a non-coding RNA of Pelobates cultripes (western spadefoot toad), 251 nucleotides long. NCBI's taxonomy places the organism in Eukaryota, Metazoa, Chordata, Amphibia, Anura, Pelobatidae. The record is from the annotation of a GenBank genome assembly.
GGCAGGAAAAUGUGCUUGCGGUCGGUCAUUAAGGGGCCUCCAGCUAACUUUUAACCCCUGGAUGGAUUUGGCUGAUUUUUGGUUAUGUUUAUGUUUUAAGUGUGUUGAUUCCAAAUAUGUAAUUGUUAUGAAGAUUGGAUGUGUAGUUUUAAAGUUACAGUGUAUGGAUAAAAAACUUUAUUUUUACUGCCUGUGUUUAAUUAUGUUAACCCAUUGUGUACCAUAAUUAGAUCACAGGCAGAGGGGAGGAU